GGGCCCGCACAAGCGGUGGAGUAUGUGGUUUAAUUCGAUGCAACGCGAAGAACCUUACCAGGAUUUGACAUCCUGCGAAUCUCUUGGAAACGAGAGAGUGCCUUCGGGAACGCAGUGACAGGUGGUGCAUGGCUGUCGUCAGCUCGUGUCGUGAGAUGUUGGGUUAAGUCCCGCAACGAGCGCAACCCACGUCUUUAGUUGCCAGCAUUUAGUUGGGCACUCUAGAGAGACUGCCGGUGAUAAACCCGGAGGAAGGUGUGGAUGACGUCAAGUCAUCAUGCCCCUUACAUUCUGGGCUACACACGUACUACAAUGCUACGGACAAAGGGCAGCAAGUUCGCGAGGACAAGCAAA
Molecule: ribosomal RNA, 354 nt
Filed under: uncultured bacterium
Lineage: Bacteria
Description: bacterial SSU rRNA
Rfam family: Bacterial small subunit ribosomal RNA
Source: RNAcentral